GCAAGUCGAACGAGAAAGCACCUUCGGGUGUGAUUAAAGUGGCAAACGGGUGCGUAACACGUGGGAAUCUACCUAUUGGUUCGGAAUAGCCCCGGGAAACUGGGAUUAAUACCGGAUAAGGACUACGGUCGAAAGAUUUAUCGCCGAUAGAUGAGCCCGCGUUAGAUUAGCUAGUUGGUAAGGUAAGAGCUUACCAAGGCUACGAUCUAUAGCUGGUCUGAGAGGAUGAUC
RNAcentral lists this ribosomal RNA (231 nucleotides) under uncultured bacterium. Its description in RNAcentral is "partial 16S ribosomal RNA". It matches the Rfam family "Bacterial small subunit ribosomal RNA", at positions 57 to 305 of the family's 1533-position model. The record is from RNAcentral.